AGUGAACGCUGGCGGUAUGCCUAACACAUGCAAGUCGAACGGCAGCACAUUAAGAGCUUGCUCUUACGGGUGGCGAGUGGCGGACGGGUGAGGAGUACAGCGGAAUCUACUUUUUCGUGGGGGACAACGUAGGGAAACUUACGCUAAUACCGCAUACGACUUACGGGUGAAAGCAGGGGAGCUUCGGACAUUGCGCGAAUGAAUGAGCCGAUCUCGGAUUAGCUAGUUGGCGGGGAAAAGGCCCACCAAGCCGACGAUCCGUAGCUGGUCUGCGAGGAUGAUCAGCCACACUGGAACGGGGACACGGCCCAGACUCCUACGGGAGGCAGCGGUGGGGAAUAUUGGACAAGGGGGGCAAGCCUGACCCAGCCAUACCGGGGGGGGGAAGAAGGCCUUCGGGUUGUAAAGCCCUUUUGUUGGGAAAGAAAAGCAGCAGGUUAAUACGCCGCUGUUCUGACGGUACCCAAAGAGAAAGCACCGGCUAACUACGUG
This 492-nucleotide ribosomal RNA is filed under the name uncultured bacterium. RNAcentral's name for it is "partial 16S ribosomal RNA". It matches the Rfam family "Bacterial small subunit ribosomal RNA", at positions 29 to 507 of the family's 1533-position model. The record is from RNAcentral.